GAGUUUGAUCAUGGCUCAGAUUGAACGCUGGCGGCAUGCUUUACACAUGCAAGUCGGACGGCAGCACAGAGAAGCUUGCUUCUCGGGUGGCGAGUGGCGAACGGGUGAGUAACAUAUCGGAACGUACCGAGUAGUGGGGGAUAACUGAUCGAAAGAUCAGCUAAUACCGCAUACGUCUUGAGAGAGAAAGCAGGGGACCUUUGGGCCUUGCGCUAUUCGAGCGGCCGAUAUCUGAUUAGCUGGUUGGUGGGGUAAAGGCCUACCAAGGCGACGAUCAGUAGCGGGUCUGAGAGGAUGAUCCGCCACACUGGGACUGAGACACGGCCCAGACUCCUACGGGAGGCAGCAGUGGGGAAUUUUGGACAAUGGGCGCAAGCCUGAUCCAGCCAUGCCGCGUGUCUGAAGAAGGCCUUCGGGUUGUAAAGGACUUUUGUCAGGGAAGAAAAGGCUGUUGCUAAUAUCAGCGGCUGAUGACGGUACCUGAAGAAUAAGCACCGGCUAACUACGUGCCAGCAGCCGCGGUAAUACGUAGGGUGCGAGCGUUAAUCGGAAUUACUGGGCGUAAAGCGGGCGCAGACGGUUACUUAAGCAGGAUGUGAAAUCCCCGGGCUCAACCCGGGAACUGCGUUCUGAACUGGGUGACUCGAGUGUGUCAGAGGGAGGUAGAAUUCCACGUGUAGCAGUGAAAUGCGUAGAGAUGUGGAGGAAUACCGAUGGCGAAGGCAGCCUCCUGGGACAACACUGACGUUCAUGCCCGAAAGCGUGGGUAGCAAACAGGAUUAGAUACCCUGGUAGUCCACGCCCUAAACGAUGUCAAUUAGCUGUUGGGCAACUUGAUUGCUUGGUAGCGUAGCUAACGCGUGAAAUUGACCGCCUGGGGAGUACGGUCGCAAGAUUAAAACUCAAAGGAAUUGACGGGGACCCGCACAAGCGGUGGAUGAUGUGGAUUAAUUCGAUGCAACGCGAAGAACCUUACCUGGUCUUGACAUGUAUGGAAUCCUCCAGAGACGGAGGGGUGCCUUCGGGAGCCGUAACACAGGUGCUGCAUGGCUGUCGUCAGCUCGUGUCGUGAGAUGUUGGGUUAAGUCCCGCAACGAGCGCAACCCUUGUCAUUAGUUGCCAUCAUUCAGUUGGGCACUCUAAUGAGACUGCCGGUGACAAGCCGGAGGAAGGUGGGGAUGACGUCAAGUCCUCAUGGCCCUUAUGACCAGGGCUUCACACGUCAUACAAUGGUCGGUACAGAGGGUAGCCAAGCCGCGAGGCGGAGCCAAUCUCACAAAACCGAUCGUAGUCCGGAUUGCACUCUGCAACUCGAGUGCAUGAAGUCGGAAUCGCUAGUAAUCGCAGGUCAGCAUACUGCGGUGAAUACGUUCCCGGGUCUUGUACACACCGCCCGUCACACCAUGGGAGUGGGGGAUACCAGAAGUAGGUAGGAUAACCGCAAGGGGUCCGCUUACCACGGUAUGCUUCAUGACUGGGGUGAAGUCGUAACAAGGUA
Molecule: ribosomal RNA, 1498 nt
Filed under: Neisseria meningitidis
Lineage: Bacteria; Pseudomonadati; Pseudomonadota; Betaproteobacteria; Neisseriales; Neisseriaceae
Description: bacterial SSU rRNA
Rfam family: Bacterial small subunit ribosomal RNA
Source: RNAcentral